Molecule: signal recognition particle RNA, 99 nt
Filed under: Panacibacter ginsenosidivorans
Lineage: Bacteria; Pseudomonadati; Bacteroidota; Chitinophagia; Chitinophagales; Chitinophagaceae
Description: signal recognition particle sRNA small type
Rfam family: Bacteroidales small SRP
About the family: The non-coding component of the signal recognition particle in Bacteroides
Source: RNAcentral
CGGCAGGUCUUACACGACCAGCUCCCUUUGAACCUCCCCAGGGCAGGAAUGCAGCAAGGAUAUUAGGUUGAGCGGUGCGAUGUAAUUAGCCUGCCUUUU